AGGCGACGAUCCCUAGCUGGUCUGAGAGGAUGACCAGCCACACUGGAACUGAGACACGGUCCAGACUCCUACGGGAGGCAGCAGUGGGGAAUAUUGCACAAUGGGCGCAAGCCUGAUGCAGCCAUGCCGCGUGUAUGAAGAAGGCCUUCGGGUUGUAAAGUACUUUCAGCGGGGAGGAAGGGAGUAAAGUUAAUACCUUUGCUCAUUGACGUUACCCGCAGAAGAAGCACCGGCUAACUCCGUGCCAGCAGCCGCGGUAAUACGGAGGGUGCAAGCGUUAAUCGGAAUUACUGGGCGUAAAGCGCACGCAGGCGGUUUGUUAAGUCAGAUGUGAAAUCCCCGGGCUCAACCUGGGAACUGCAUCUGAUACUGGCAAGCUUGAGUCUCGUAGAGGGGGGUAGAAUUCCAGGUGUAGCGGUGAAAUGCGUAGAGAUCUGGAGGAAUACCGGUGGCGAAGGCGGCCCCCUGACGAAGACUGACGCUCAG
RNAcentral lists this ribosomal RNA (486 nucleotides) under Escherichia sp. RNAcentral's name for it is "bacterial SSU rRNA". It matches the Rfam family "Bacterial small subunit ribosomal RNA", at positions 271 to 750 of the family's 1533-position model. Lineage: Bacteria; Pseudomonadati; Pseudomonadota; Gammaproteobacteria; Enterobacterales; Enterobacteriaceae. The record is from RNAcentral.